CAGUCGCCGCGGUAAUACGUAGGUGGCAAGCGUUGUCCGGAAUUAUUGGGCGUAAAGCGUGCGCAGGCGGUUGUGUAAGACAGGUGUGAAAUCCCCGGGCUUAACCUGGGAACUGCGCUUGUGACUGCACAGCUAGAGUAUGGCAGAGGGGGGUGGAAUUCCACGUGUAGCAGUGAAAUGCGUAGAGAUGUGGAGGAACACCGAUGGCGAAGGCAAUCCCCUGGGCCUGCACUGACGCUCAUGCACGAAAGCGUGGGGAGCAAACAGGAUUAGAUACCCCUGUAGUCCCUGUCUCUUAUAC
This 301-nucleotide ribosomal RNA is filed under the name uncultured bacterium. RNAcentral describes it as "partial 16S ribosomal RNA". It matches the Rfam family "Bacterial small subunit ribosomal RNA", at positions 509 to 807 of the family's 1533-position model. The record is from RNAcentral.